GUACACUCCUGCGGGAGGCAGCAGUGGGGAAUAUUGCACAAUGGGCGCAAGCCUGAUGCAGCCAUGCCGCGUGUAUGAAGAAGGCCUUCGGGUUGUAAAGUACUUUCAGCGGGGAGGAAGGCGAUAAGGUUAAUAACCUUGUCGAUUGACGUUACCCGCAGAAGAAGCACCGGCUAACUCCGUGCCAGCAGCCGCGGUAAUACGGAGGGUGCAAGCGUUAAUCGGAAUUACUGGGCGUAAAGCGCACGCAGGCGGUCUGUCAAGUCGGAUGUGAAAUCCCCGGGCUCAACCUGGGAACUGCAUUCGAAACUGGCAGGCUAGAGUCUUGUAGAGGGGGGUAGAAUUCCAGGUGUAGCGGUGAAAUGCGUAGAGAUCUGGAGGAAUACCGGUGGCGAAGGCGGCCCCCUGGACAAAGACUGACGCUCAGGUGCGAAAGCGUGGGGAGCAAACAGGAUUAGAUACCCCGGUAGUCCCA
Molecule: ribosomal RNA, 475 nt
Filed under: uncultured organism
Description: partial 16S ribosomal RNA
Rfam family: Bacterial small subunit ribosomal RNA
Source: RNAcentral